This is a non-coding RNA of Pteropus alecto (black flying fox), 73 nucleotides long. The record is from Rfam. NCBI's taxonomy places the organism in Eukaryota, Metazoa, Chordata, Mammalia, Chiroptera, Pteropodidae.
GGUUCCAUAGUGUAGUGGUUAGCACAUCUGCUUUACAGGCAGAAGGUCUUGGGUUUAUGCCCCAGUGGAGCCA